Molecule: ribosomal RNA, 467 nt
Filed under: uncultured bacterium
Lineage: Bacteria
Description: partial 16S ribosomal RNA
Rfam family: Bacterial small subunit ribosomal RNA
Source: RNAcentral
GACGAACGCUGGCGGCGUGCUUAACACAUGCAAGUCGAACGGAAAGGCCUCUUUCGGGGGGUACUCGAGUGGCGAACGGGUGAGUAACACGUGAGUAACCUGCCCUUGACUUUGGGAUAACUUCAGGAAACUGGGGCUAAUACCAGAUAGGAGCUCCUGCUGCAUGGUGGGGGUUGGAAAGUUUCGGCGGUUGGGGAUGGACUCGCGGCUUAUCAGCUUGUUGGUGGGGUAGUGGCUUACCAAGGCUUUGACGGGUAGCCGGCCGGAGAGGGUGACCGGCCACAUUGGGACUGAGAUACGGCCCAGACUCCUACGGGAGGCAGCAGUGGGGAAUAUUGCACAAUGGGUGGAAGCCUGAUGCAGCAACGCCGUGUGCGGGAUGACGGCCUUCGGGUUGUAAACCGCUUUCGCUCAUGACGAAGCUUUGUGUGACGGUAGUGGGUAAAGAAGCACCGGCUAACUACGUG